This 267-nucleotide long non-coding RNA is filed under the name Nicotiana benthamiana. Its description in RNAcentral is "long non-coding RNA (NBEN_LNC020764)". The record is from RNAcentral. Lineage: Eukaryota; Viridiplantae; Streptophyta; Magnoliopsida; Solanales; Solanaceae.
UUUAUAUAGGAAUAGAAAACACAACAAAAUAAUUAAGAGAUCAAUUAAGUAGCAAAUAAAGGAAGUCACAUGUAAAUCAUCAAGAUCUUCCCUUAAUCAAGGGACAAUUAAACCACUGUAGAAUCAUGCUAGGUAUUUAAGGAAAAGAAUCAAGUAAAGUUUAAGCUACAGAAUAUGCAAUUAGGGGUAAAUUCACAACAAUCUAAUUAAGGAAAAAAAUCAAAAAUAAUUAGCGGAAUACAAACAAGGCAUGGAAAAACAAUUAAG